Molecule: long non-coding RNA, 2508 nt
Organism: Prinia subflava (tawny-flanked prinia)
Lineage: Eukaryota; Metazoa; Chordata; Aves; Passeriformes; Cisticolidae
Exons: 3
Source: RefSeq, a predicted model, not a curated record
UUCUGUUUGAGAAAAAAAACUAACACCAGCAAAUGGUAACUUGAAAUGGAAUUUGUUCUUUAAUAAAAUAACAAAACAAAGUCUCCACAGAGGAGUAGUUUCCUUUUUUCUACAUGUAAGUGUUUGUAACAAAAUAAAAGAGCAUUUAACUCUUCAGGCUGGUGAUAACAAAUAAAGAUGUGGUUCACCUUGACUUUCAGACGCUCUGUCUCUCUGUUCAAAGAGCUUCUUUCCUUUAUUCAUGAGCUCUUUGGGGACAGGAUUUUUAACAGUUCCUUCUGACAACUUGUGGUUAGCAGAAUAUUUGCUUUCCAUUUUUUUUUGAAGUGUGUGUUGUGGCUCCCAAGUAUCCAUCUGUAACUCUCUGAAAAAUUUCCGGUAGCUUGCGGCUAGAAUAUAUUUUGUGAUGCCUGGUUUGUCACUGGUUAGCUCACAUGCUGAAGUUUAAACUGACACCUGAAAUUCACCAAGAUGAGCAGUCCUUUGGAGACCCUCUCUUCAGCCAUCUCUCCCAGGUCACCCCUCUGAAAUCCCAAGAGAUUAUUGACUUUGGUACUGAGCCAUCACACAGGAGAGAAUUUUGAUUUUUUUUUCUUUCUUUCUUUUCUUUUUUUUUUUUUUUUUUUUUUUUCCUAAGACUGCUUAUGCCACAGAUCAUCCUCACUCCCUGGAUCCAUUCUGCACCUCUAAUGAGCUAUGAUGCCCUUCAUUCACAUAAGAUUUUGGCAGUGCAUAUUCCAUUUUUGGAAGUGAUUUUAUAGGAAAGGUAUCACUUUUAUAUGUUUCACCUCCAUAGCAAAAGUGUGAGGUCUGGACAUAGAAGAUAACUAACCCUGCUUCACUUGAUGAUUGAACAGUCCAGCCUCUUGUUGUUUGUAUCUGCUUUUUGUAAGAUGUGAGCUGCCCCAGUGUAGCAUAGUCUAACUUUUGUCACCUUCAUUUAAUGACACACUGAUAUGCAACAAGGAAGCUUUAUACCUCCUCCCAAGACUGCAGCUUGAGAGCUGUGUCCAUCCUGCAAAACAAUGGGAAACAUCAAGCCUAAUGCCAAGAAAUCUCAGGCUUCCUUCAGGACAAUUACUUCCAUUUUCAGCAAUUUGUUUGUUUUUGCAUGCCUGCACAACCAUUGUGGUUCCAAAUCUGAGUGGGGACGAGUUACAAUGAUUCCUCUGCUCCAUAAACCACACUGCCCACUACCUGGGGAUGUGGUGGUCAUUCCAUCCUUCUCCCACCUGCAGAGAAGUCCGGACUAGCUGGCUCCUGCCUGAAAGGGUUUAGAUCUUUUUCAUAGUGAGAGCAAAUGCUCUCUUUAUCUAUUCUUCUGAGGGCCAGACUGCGACAGAGAAUGGAAACUGGUUGUUCUGCUUUUCAGGAUGGUCCUGUUCCAGGCCAGUCAGAAGGCAAUGCCAACUAACAAUCCUUGUGUAGCAUUGUUUUCAAGUGGGAAUGUUUGGUCCCAGUGAACUUCCCAUGAUUAACUAGAACCUUGCCCUCCUUGACAGCAGCCCUAGGUACUACAGAAGUGAAUUGGGAGAGCCAGACCAGGUAAUAAAGCUGGCUCCCUUGUUGGAUUCUGUCUGCUCCAGGAAGUAUGUUCCUGUGAGCUCAAUAUUUAACUAGCACAGCAAAAUAAAUGAAAACAAGGCAAAGAAUAAUGCUCCACUUCUCUGGGAACACAGGGCCUCAAGUAUGUAACAUGAAUACAGCAUGUCUGUUUGCCGGAGAAUUCAUACAUAGGAUGAAAAAGAACUCUCCAGGGUAACAGCAACACAGAAAACCUGAACAACCCGCUGUGUGGAGUGUGGAGAAGGUUGCAUCAAAAGAACAUUGGCACAUUAGCUUAGUGAUUAGCUUGUAGAGUAGCACCCAGUGGUGAAAUGGCUUUUAUCCUCCUUUUCACACACAAAAAUGAUGCGUCACGUGAAGGAAUGCUUACAAUGAAGUCAGACCUGAUGUCUGUUGUGACUUCUCAAGCAUUUCAUCAAAAAUAUUUCCUUGCAGGUCUGAAAGAAGCUGCUGCCAUAUGGAGAGCUGGAGCAGCCAAGAAUUAUAUUCACCAGCAGUGCACUAUUCAAAGCAUUUAGAGGCUGCCAGUCCUCAUGGUCCCAGACCAAAGCUAACCUUUGUAGCAGCACUAUUAGGUUUUCUUGCUUCUUUUUCCAAGUCAGAUGGGGUUGGCACUCUCUUGUGAAGAACACUGGGUCAGAGGGUCUGAGGGGUUACUCCUGAUGGCAAUUCCUGUCCUAGCUCAGAUGCAGCUGCAUCCCCAGUUACAUUCAUUUUAGGGACAGAAUAAUCCUCUGCAUUUUUUCACUGUGUGCAGCACAGAUCUGAUAGGUCUCACCUGAGUACUGGAGCAGGAUGGAAGAAAGGAGAAGCUUUUGCUCUUUCUUUGGGCAAAUGACUGAGCUAUUCCACAGAGCUAUUCCACAAUAAAAAUUAAUCCAACUCUUUCAUAGUGGCUAGUGACUAAAUACACAACUGUUUAAAGAAGCACCAGGCUAUCUG